CGAGUAUAUUAAAUUUGUAUAACCUAUUGCUAUUUGACAAGACGAUUCAAAGCAGAGAACUUAAAACGAUAAUUUUGAUAAAAUUUUUUUUCGUGAUUUUUUUUUUAUAUAAUAUAUAAUACAAUAAACAUAUUAUUAUACGAUCUCGAUUUUUGAUUUAAUUAAAACAAUAUAAUAAAUAAUAAUGAAUAAACAUAAUAUCUAUAACGUAAAUAAUAAGUUAAAACUAAUGAAAUCGUUAAUGUUGGCUGGACACAAACCUUUACAACUAUCGAGGUGACGAUAGAUCGAUCUAUGGUACCUAAGCUAUAUUCACAUGUACCCUAAUAACAAUAAUACAGUAAAACCUUCUUGUGACAAAUUCGCUCGGGAGUCGGGAGCAACUUAUUUUUCCGUUGUAUGGAGUGUAAAAUAUACUGAAUGGUAUCCGUCAUAUGGAGAUUUUGCUGUACCUAUAACGCACGUGAUAUAACUAAUUAUUAUAAUGUAUAAUGUAUGGGAUGUUUUUCGCAAAAACCAGUUCAACGUACCACAGGCAUAAUAAAUAGAAAAUAAAUUAAAUAUCCUUGGAAACAGAGUUAGUGGUAGCAGGUGAUCAUGACGAGGUUCCGAAUGAAACCUAUUAUACAGAAGAGCUAUACUUCCAGCGUUUUUAAAAAAUGUUAUUUGUAUGAUAAAAAAUAAAUAUUUUAUUAUUUA
This is a long non-coding RNA of Aphis gossypii (cotton aphid), 699 nucleotides long. RefSeq lists it as uncharacterized. The transcript has 5 exons. The record is from RefSeq and is a predicted model, not a curated record. Lineage: Eukaryota; Metazoa; Arthropoda; Insecta; Hemiptera; Aphididae.